RNAcentral lists this ribosomal RNA (253 nucleotides) under uncultured bacterium. Its description in RNAcentral is "partial 16S ribosomal RNA". It matches the Rfam family "Bacterial small subunit ribosomal RNA", at positions 524 to 776 of the family's 1533-position model. The record is from RNAcentral.
UACGGGGGGGGCAAGCGUUGUUCGGAAUUACUGGGCGUAAAGGGCUCGUAGGUGGCCAACUAAGUCAGACGUGAAAUCCCUCGGCUUAACCGGGGAACUGCGUGUGAUACUGGAUGGCUUGAAUUCGGGAGAGGGAUGCAGAAUUCCAGGUGUAGCGGUGAAAUGCGUAGAUAUCUGGAGGAAUACCGGUGGCGAAGGCGGCAUCCUGGACCGACAUUGACGCUGAGGAGCGAAAGCUAGGGGAGCAAACGGG